RNAcentral lists this transfer RNA (73 nucleotides) under bacterium. Its description in RNAcentral is "tRNA-Gly". It matches the Rfam family "tRNA". Rfam says of the family: Transfer RNA (tRNA) molecules are approximately 80 nucleotides in length. RNAcentral also lists the same sequence under 9 other names. The record is from RNAcentral.
GCGGGUGUAACUCAGUUGGUAGAGUGCAACCUUGCCAAGGUUGAUGUCGCGAGUUCGAGUCUCGUCACCCGCU